AGCGAACGCUGGCGGCAGGCCUAACACAUGCAAGUCGAACGGAUCCUUCGGGAUUAGUGGCGGACGGGUGAGUAACACGUGGGAACGUGCCCUUUGGUUCGGAACAACUCAGGGAAACUUGAGCUAAUACCGGAUGUGCCCUUCGGGGGAAAGAUUUAUCGCCAUUGGAGCGGCCCGCGUCUGAUUAGCUAGUUGGUGAGGUAACGGCCCACCAAGGCGACGAUCAGUAGCUGGUCUGAGAGGAUGAUCAGCCACACUGGGACUGAGACACGGCCCAGACUCCUACGGGAAGCAGCAGUGGGGAAUCUUGCGCAAUGGGCGAAAGCCUGACACAGCCAUGCCGCGUGAAUGAUGAAGGUCUUAGGAUUGUAAAAUUCUUUCAGCGGGGAAGAUAAUGACGGUACCCGCAGAAGAAGCUCCGGCUAACUUCGUG
Molecule: ribosomal RNA, 433 nt
Filed under: uncultured bacterium
Lineage: Bacteria
Description: partial 16S ribosomal RNA
Rfam family: Bacterial small subunit ribosomal RNA
Source: RNAcentral